AUUGAACGCUGGCGGCAUGCUUUACACAUGCGAGUCGAACGGCAGCGCGGGCUUCGGCCUGGCGGCGAGUGGCGAACGGGUGAGUAAUACAUCGGAACGUGCCCAGUAGUGGGGGAUAGCUCGGCGAAAGCCGGAUUAAUACCGCAUACGACCCGAGGGUGAAAGCGGGGAUCUUCGGACCUCGCGCUAUUGGAGCGGCCGAUGGCAGAUUAGCUAGUUGGUGGGGUAAAGGCCUACCAAGGCGACGAUCUGUAGCUGGUCUGAGAGGACGACCAGCCACACUGGGACUGAGACACGGCCCAGACUCCUACGGGAGGCAGCAGUGGGGAAUUUUGGACAAUGGGCGAAAGCCUGAUCCAGCAAUGCCGCGUGUGUGAUGAAGGCCUUCGGGUUGUAAAGCACUUUUGGCGGGAACGAAAAGGACUGUGCCAAUACCACGGUUCGAUGACGGUACCCGCAGAAUAAGCACCGGCUAACUACGUG
Molecule: ribosomal RNA, 483 nt
Filed under: uncultured bacterium
Lineage: Bacteria
Description: partial 16S ribosomal RNA
Rfam family: Bacterial small subunit ribosomal RNA
Source: RNAcentral